AAAGUAUAAAAAAAGCGUAGAGGGGAUGCCUAGGCAUUAAUUACUAUUUUUAGGACGUAAUAAAAACGAAACGUUACAUGGAAUAAUAUUUUAUUUAUAUAUGUAGAUUUCCUAAAGAAAACUUUUUCUUUGUGAAAAUUAAAAAUUUAGUGAAUUGAAAUAUCUUAGUAACUAAUUAAUAAAUCAAACGAGAUUCCGUAAGUAAUGACGAGUGAACAUGGAAAAUAGGUUAUAAAAAAAAUUUAACAUGAAAAUAUAUAGAUUCCGAAAAAUUUUGAAAAAUUUACGUUAAAGGGUGAUAGUCCUGUAGGAUAUAUUUCAUAAAAUAUUUAUUUAUUUUGUUUUUUUAUAAGUAAAAAGAGGUAUGUGUAAUCUUUUUUGAAAAUUGGGGGACCACCCUCAAAACCUAUAAAAUAAUUAAUGACCGAUAGUGAACAAGUACUGUAAAGGAAAGGUGAAAUAGAGCUUUUGAGUUUGAAAUAAUUCUGAAACUCUAUGCUAAUAAUCAAUUGAAGCUUUUUUAUAAAGUAACAGUGUACCUUUUGCAUAAUGGGCCAGCAAGUUUAUUUUUUUAGCAAGCUUAAUUUAUUAAUAAAAUAGGCGUAGAAAAAUCAAGUUUUAAAAAGCAUUAUAAAGUUAAAAAAAUAAGACCCGAAACUGAGUGAUCUAAUUAUGAACAGAUUGAAGAAUAGGUAAAACUAUUUGGAGGAUCGAACUCACGUAUGUGGCAUUAUAUGGAGAUGAUUUGUGAUUAGGGGUGAAAGGCCAAUCAAACUCAGAGAUAGCUGGUUUUCCGCGAAAUCUAUUGAAGUAGAGCAUUUAAGAAUCUUUUUUUGGGGUAGAGCACUCAUUAAGCUAGGGGGGUUAAAAUCUUACUGAACUUUUAGAAACUUCGAAUACAAAAAUAAGUAAUUAAAUAGACAGACAUUGGGCGCUAAGGUCCAUUGUCGAGAGGGAAACAGCCCAGAUUGAACGCUAAGGUCCUUAAAUAAUUUUCUAAGUGAUAAAGGAAGUGAAAAAAUAAAGACAACCAAUAGGUAGGCUUGGAAGCAGCCAUCCUUUAAAGAAAGCGUAAUAGCUCAUUGGUCUAGUUUUUUUGCACCGAAAAUGUAUCGGGACUAAAGAAAUUUACCGAAGCGUCAAGUUUAUAUAUAUAAAUAUUAUAAUAUAUAAACGGUAGCGGAACAUUCUGUAUGUUGCUAAAGAUAUGUUGUUAAAUAUAUUGAAGAUAUCAGAAUCGAAAAUGCUGGCAUUAGUAACACAAAAUAAUGAUAAAAUCAUUAUCACCGAAAAUCUAAGGGUUUCUAUGUUAAGAUUAACUACAUAGAGUUAGACGGCCCCUAAGCAGAACAUGACGAAAGCAUGCUGUGAUGGGAAAAUUUUGAAAUUAAAUUUCUAAUAAAAAGUGACAAAAUGAAUAAUUUUCAAGAAAUAACUUUUUUUAAUAAAAUAACCGUACCCUAAACCAACACAGGUAGAUAGGUCGAGUAGACUAAGGUGUAUGAGAUAAUUAUGUUGAAGGAACUCGGCAAAAUGACUCUGUAACUUCGGGAGAAAGAGUACCUUUUAAAUUUUUAAGAGGUGGCACAGAAUUGGGGGUUGCGACUGUUUAAUAAAAACACAGGACUCUGCUAAAUCGUAAGAUGACGUAUAGGGUCUGACACCUGCCCGGUGCUGGAAGAUUAAUAGGAGAUGUUUGCGCAUUGAAUGAAAGUCCCAGUAAACGGCGGCCGUAACUCUGACGGUCCUAAGGUAGCGAAAUUCCUUGUCGGGUAAGUUCCGACCUGCAUGAAUGGUGUAACGACAUCCCCGCUGUCUCCAACAUAAACUCAGUGAAUUUGAAUUAUCCGUGAAGAUGCGGAUUCUCUAUAGUUAGACGGAAAGACCCCGUGAACCUUUACUACAUCUUUAUAUUGUUAUCUUAUAAAAUAUGUGUAGAAUAAGUGGUAAUCUCAGACCUUCACGCUAGUGAAUUGUUUAGAUUUCUUUGAAAUACCACUCUUAUUCUUAUAAAUAACUAAUAUUUCUUUAGAAAUAAACAGUGUAUGGUUGGUAGUUUGACUGGGGCGGUCACCUCCCAAAGAGUAACGGAGGUGUACAAAGGUAAGCUCAAAUUGGAAAAUAUAUCAAUUGUGGAAUGUAAUGGUAUAAGCUUGCUUGACUGUAAGAUAGACAUAUCAAACAGGGACGAAAGUCGGUCAUAGUGAUCCGAUAAUUCUUUGUGGAAAGAUUAUCGCUCAACGGAUAAAAGGUACUCCGGGGAUAACAGGCUGAUGACUCCUAAGAGCUCCUAUCGACGGAGUCGUUUGGCACCUCGAUGUCGACUCAUCACAUCCUGGAGCUGAAGAAGGUUCCAAGGGUUCGGCUGUUCGCCGAUUAAAGUGGUACGUGAGUUGGGUUUAGAACGUCGUGAGACAGUUUGGAUCCUAUCUUCUAUAGAUUUUUUUGAAAAAUGAAAGACUCUGAUUCUAGUACGAGAGGACCGAAAAAGGUAAAUCACUGGUGUAUCGGUUGUUCUAUAUUGAGCAGCGCCGAGUAGCUAAAUUUAUAUUGGAUAAUUGCUGAAAGCAUCUAAGCAAGAAACCGUUCUUAAAAAUUUUUCAUAAAAUUGUUUUAGACUAAAACUUUGAUAGGUGAAAAGUGUAAAUAUUGUAAAAUAUGUAGCUUAUUCAUACUAAAUAUUUUUAAAUAAUAUAUAAUAAUAUUAUA
RNAcentral lists this ribosomal RNA (2709 nucleotides) under Thraustotheca clavata. RNAcentral describes it as "LSU rRNA". It matches the Rfam family "Bacterial large subunit ribosomal RNA". Lineage: Eukaryota; Oomycota; Saprolegniomycetes; Saprolegniales; Achlyaceae. The record is from RNAcentral.